UUUGCAGCACAGUCAGCGUCCACGUCGUCACUGAGAGCUGACAGGAACCGGCACCGGCUGCUGUAUGGACCCUUUCCCGCCUGACAGACGGCGCUGAGAGCUCCGUGCAGCCUGGUUGUGAACAUGAACCACCUUUUAGUCAGAGGUGUGUCAGUGCACGGAACGCUGGUGGUACAUUUGGGAUUUUUCUGCUGCUUGCAGGAAUCUUUUCUUCCUCUUCUUCCCUCCGUCCUGCUCAGAACUCAGCCCUGACAGCAGCGCCCCCAAAAGAGCAGCUGUUGCACCUGCAGGCGGUUUGAUCCCGUCUCCUGAUCUUCCGGCGGACUCGAGCUGAUUUCCCUCCAACGCAUCAUCGACUGUUCCCCCAAAGGCCUCAGAUUCAUCCAUGAUAUCAUUCCAGUGGACCUUCAUUCCUUCUUUUGUCCAACAGGAUUUUGUUUUUUUAAGCAUGCAAUGGGGCUGACAGAAGCCCCGCUGCGACCACUGCGGCCCGCAGAAGCCUUUAUUGAGGCCCACGCCGGAUCCUCGAUCAGAAGUGGGUCCGGAACGCCCCACCUGACCCAGCCUUCCUGCCACGGCGCCUGCGGUUCCCGCCGGGAUUCAAGGCCACUCAGGCCGCAGUGCCCACAAGGACGCGCUGCUGGAGCCCGGUCCAAGGAGCGGGGGCCGCCGUUCACUCAGCUGUAGUGAGACCAGCCGUGCUUUAGAAACAUCAUGCCCCAAUAACACGGUUUACUGCAUGAAACGUGUCGCUGCUGUCUGUUUUCAGAAUAAAGCACCUUAUCUGUUAUGUAAUUAUAAAAUGACAGAUAAAUACAUCCCUGAUCUAACCUAA
This is a non-coding RNA of Oryzias latipes (Japanese medaka), 835 nucleotides long. The record is from RefSeq and is a predicted model, not a curated record. Lineage: Eukaryota; Metazoa; Chordata; Actinopteri; Beloniformes; Adrianichthyidae.